GGUGAGAUGGCCGAGCGGUCCAAGGCGCCAGACUAAGGAACGACCAGGACACUUGGUGUCCGUAUCAUCUGGUCUCUCCGGAGGCGGGGGUUCGAAUCCCCCUCUCAUCA
Tephrocybe rancida is the source of this 110-nucleotide non-coding RNA. Lineage: Eukaryota; Fungi; Basidiomycota; Agaricomycetes; Agaricales; Lyophyllaceae. The record is from the annotation of a GenBank genome assembly.